AUAAUACUCCAUAGAUUAGAGACACUGGAAUGUUCUUUAGUCGAAAGUUCUGGCGCCUUAGGAUGGAUCUGCGGUCGAUUAGGUUGUUGUUGGGGUAACGGCCCAACAAGCCUGUAAUCGAUACGGGUUGUGGGAGCAAGAGCCCGGAGAUGGAAUCUGAGACACGAUUCCAGGCCCUACGGGGCGCAGCAGGCGCGAAAACUUUACAAUGCAGGAAACUGUGAUAAGGGAACUCCGAGUGCCCGUAUACGCGGGCUGUCCAGGUGUUUAAAAAUCAUCUGAAGAAAGGGCCGGGCAAGACCGGUGCCAGCCGCCGCGGUAAUACCGGCGGCUCGAGUGGUGGCCACUAUUAUUGGGCUUAAAGCGUCCGUAGCUGGACUGAUAAGUCUCUUGGGAAAUCCGCCGGCUCAACCGGCGGGCGUCUAAGGGAUACUGUUGGUCUAGGGACCGGGAGAGGUGAGAGGUACUCCGGGGGUAGGAGUGAAAUCCUGUAAUCCCCGGGGGACCACCGAUGGCGAAGGCAUCUCACCAGAACGGCUCCGACAGUGAGGGACGAAAGCUGGGGGAGCAAACCGGAUUAGAUACCCGGGUAGUCCCAGCCGUAAACUAUGCGCGUUAGGUGU
This 623-nucleotide ribosomal RNA is filed under the name uncultured archaeon. Its description in RNAcentral is "bacterial SSU rRNA". It matches the Rfam family "Archaeal small subunit ribosomal RNA", at positions 146 to 774 of the family's 1478-position model. The record is from RNAcentral.